CAAAAAGUAGCUUAUUAAAAGCAUUCAAUUUACGAUUGAACGAUGUUAGAUUUAACCUAACCUUUCUGU
This 69-nucleotide transfer RNA is filed under the name Heloderma suspectum (Gila monster). Its description in RNAcentral is "tRNA-Val". It matches the Rfam family "tRNA". From Rfam's summary of the family: Transfer RNA (tRNA) molecules are approximately 80 nucleotides in length. Lineage: Eukaryota; Metazoa; Chordata; Lepidosauria; Squamata; Helodermatidae. The record is from RNAcentral.